CUGACAGACCGUGCACUGUUGUCGCGGGUGCUGCAGCAGUCUUGCUCCUUCCUGGAGCCUUCCUCCUCUCACACCGCCUCUUUGGCGACCCCUGUAGGUUCAUGGUUUUACUCCUGGAGUGGUGUAUUCCUUGAUGAUAUGUUGAUGCGGUCCGCUUGGUGUUCUUGUUUGCUGUUCUUACUUGACAAUAGAGAAAAGAAAUAUCAUCUUUGAAAUGCUUGGAAUCGAUAGAUCAUUCAUGCCGUGGUUGGAUGCAAAUUAAGAACUAUUGGUAUAAGUUUUGUUUUCUUGGUCGGACUUUGUUCAUUUGAUUGUCUUAGUGCAGUCACACGUGCACACUUUUUGCAGGCAUCAGUGAAGAUUUGGGCAGUAGCUAGGGAGGGAUUGCUAGAGUGGAAACAUGGCAAGAACCGGAAAGAGCUCAAGAUUUUGCUACUACCUUGCUAAUAAAUUUGUGAGGUUGCUUUAUGGAAGUAUUUACAGGCUUGCCAUGACAAGGAAUGCAUCAAUUAUCUUGGUAUAAAAUUUAUUUGGAUGGUUCAGAACCUUCAGAUGGCAUGGCUGAGAUAUAGUUUGUUGUAUUCAGUUUUUUUUUCAUCGUCACAGGUUUGCAAAUUUUGGUUCUACUGCCAGUGCAUACUUUAUGUUUCCAUUUCCAUCAAUUCAUCUUGUAGAAUAUCUGUGACCCUCGACGUUGGUUUGGAAGUUCGGUUCAGUCAUAGCCUAAUUUUUGGGUCUUCGCAAAAAAAGGCCUAAUUUUUGGGAUUUAGUAAUUGCGGCCUGUUGUUAGUAUGCGAGUGUACAUACAAACGAUUAGCACUAUAUUUACUUUGAUUUAUUUGUUGUGAUUAAGAGCAGAAGCUCUACUCAUCUAGGACGAGGUCUAUGACAAGGAAAGUUAAUGUAAAAACUCACUUCAUUUUGAUAUAUUUGUCUUCUAAUAACCCACCGUGCACAGGACAGACCAUGCAAGCAUCAACUUAUCGAGAAAUGACUUAUUAACCUAUUAAAAGGCCAUACCGGAACCACCUAUGGCAUAACCUUUUCAAAACAUUUAAGUAGGGGUGGGCAAUAGAAGCGUUGUAGUAACUGCUCGCUUGUUGAACGGACAAACAUUUUGACGAUGACUCUUGCUUUCAUGGAUAUACAGAGAUAAAUGGAUGGAUGUUGUAAAUACAGUAGAAAUCAUGGGUGCAACAAUUUUUAUGUCCAUGUUUUUCUUUUUGUCUGAUUGUGUAUGUAUACUGGUUACAGGGCACUAUUUGCAUAGAAUUUACUUGACCUGUAGGAACUGGCUCUACUAUCUAGCUUUUAAAUGUAAUAAAUCUAGAAGGCAAUGGAGCAUUACUGUCUUUCCCUCUUUCUACAUAAGCAAGAAAGCUGUGACUUGGAUUCUGGACAUGAAUCUUCUUAACCUGUUGAAGCAGAAAACUAUAGAUGCAGAGUCCAAUUAGUUGUCCUUUGUGCAUACACAAGAAAGUGGAAUUUGGAGUCUGAACAUGAAUCCUUGAGACUGAUGGCCAGAAACAGAACACAACAUGAUGACCUUGAGUGAGACCCUUCUUCACAUGUGACUGCUCUCUUUUGGAAUACCAGCCAUGCGUGACAUGUUUAGUAGAAUAGAUUGUGUCGUACGUCUGGUAGUUGUUGUUGCCUAUACAGAGUGUGAUGAUCUGAGGGUGUGAACUAUUUUUUGUGCAAAAUACUUGUUAUAUAAACUAUAUGGAUGGAGUUACGGGACAUUAAGAAAAGAUAUGAGAAAGAAUAUAGAGUGUGAAAUUUGCUAUAUAAAUUACUUGUUAUAUAAAAGUUGAAUCUCACGAUCCAACUUUUUAGAACUAUGCCACAACUUUUAUGAGGCCAUAAGUUUUUCUUUUGAAAUCUGCAGGUUAUAUGAUUUGUACAUGGCGGUGUUACUGAACAGAAGGAGGUAAUUUCUUCGCUCUUUCUAUUGAUUAAUAUUGUUCUUCACUCUUUCUAAACUAUUGAAUUUAUUAAUAUUAUUCUUGCACAAAUUAAUUAAUGAUUAUAUCAUCUUUUGGUCACUCGAGUAAGAUAGAACAUGAUGAUCCUCUCUUAAUUUGGUUUCUCCUCCGCUGAAGAAUAUAGGAAUCACCAGCAGCCCUUCUUUAGUUCCGAGGAAGUGCUCAACCUAGACGUUGUUGGCCGAAGGAGGGGCGGAGCAGGUGCCAGUCAAGUAGGCGGCUCAAUGGGUGGGAGAUGGCAGCUGCCGAUCUCACACGGCUCAUGCGCCCCGCGACCCUCCCCUCCCCGGCUAAGUAGGAGGUUCGAGGGCAGCGACUAAGGAAGGAGCACAUCGGCGAUGAGGGCUAGCAAUAGCAAGACAAUUGCCAGAGUCCAUGGUAUCAUACGAUUUGAAGUUGAAAAAAUCAUGCUAUGGGUGAUACGGAAAAGUCAUUGCCUUCUUUGCUGGAACAUUUCCUAAGAUGAUCUAAGGUGAAGCAUUUAUGAAUAUCCUCGCUGAUCUAUGGAUCUAUCAUUGUAAGAGUCGAUAACAUAUGGUGAGCUGCCUCACACCAUCAUUUGGUCUUUGUGGCAUUUGAGUUGGCAAAUUUGUUGGAUUCAUGCGAUUAGGCAUGCCAUGUAAAUCAAUCUGCAAUGGGAAAUGGGAGUUUGCAAACUACCGGAGUCUAAUUGCUGAGGGACGAGGUUCGUAACUGAGGGUUAUGUGCAGAGCUGGAGGAAGAAGUUGCGAGGCUUGGAACUCUCCUUGUGAAGGGCUCAGGGACAACAGUGAGGACAAUGCCUCUUUAGUUGUAAUUGUGAUACUCCUGAUGUGCAAGUAAACAUUCCUGUGAUACUGCUUAUGCUAAAAUGUUGGUUGUUAGUACAGAGGUGGUGACAUUAUUUGGUUCUCUGAUAUUGAUUUCAUGAUUUGUAAUAUAAUCCACAUUGCAUUAUCUUUCCAGUAACAUCUCC
This is a long non-coding RNA of Triticum dicoccoides, 2940 nucleotides long. RefSeq lists it as uncharacterized. The transcript is spliced from 7 exons. The record is from RefSeq and is a predicted model, not a curated record. Lineage: Eukaryota; Viridiplantae; Streptophyta; Magnoliopsida; Poales; Poaceae.